Molecule: unclassified non-coding RNA, 157 nt
Filed under: uncultured Hypocreales
Lineage: Eukaryota; Fungi; Ascomycota; Sordariomycetes; Hypocreales
Description: sequence contains ITS2
Source: RNAcentral
CAACCCUCAAGCAACAUCUGCUUGGUGUUGGGGACCGGCCGUCAAACGCCGCCCCCUAAAUCUAUUGGCGAUCUCGCUGUAGCUUCCUAUGCGUAGUAGUAACAUCUCGCAUGUGGAGAGCGGCGCGGUCAUGCCGUAAAACACCCAACUUUUUUCA